Molecule: ribosomal RNA, 1196 nt
Filed under: human gut metagenome
Description: bacterial LSU rRNA
Rfam family: Bacterial large subunit ribosomal RNA
Source: RNAcentral
GUGAGUUCCGUGGACUGUAUAGGAGAGAGAAUGUUGGCAUGAGUAGCGAGAGGCAGGUGAGAAUCCUGCCCGCCGAAAAUCUGAGGUUUCCUGAGGAAGGUUCGUCCGCUCAGGGUAAGUCGGGACCUAAGCCGAGAGCGAAAGCUGUAGGCGAUGGACAACAGGUUGAGAUUCCUGUACCACCGAAAGUCGUUUGAAUGAAGUGGGGACGCAGGAGGAUAGACAGAGCACGCCGUUGGUAGAGCGUGUCCAAGCACGGAGUGUAUCGGGUAGGCAAAUCCGCUCGGUGAAAAGCAUGACGUGUGACGGGGAGGGAAAAUAGUACCGAAGCUGUCGAUUUCACACUGCCAAGAAAAGCCGCUAAUGAGACUGUAGGUGCCCGUACCGCAAACCGACACAGGUAGAUGAGGAGAGAAUCCUAAGGCGAGCGAGAGAACUAUUGUUAAGGAACUCGGCAAAAUGACCCCGUAACUUAGGGAGAAGGGGUGCCUGCGAAAGCAGGCCGCAGUGAAAAGGCCCAGGCGACUGUUUACCAAAAACACAGGUCUCUGCGAAAGCGAAAGCUGAAGUAUAGGGGCUGACGCCUGCCCGGUGCUGGAAGGUUAAGGGGAAGUGUUAUCGAAAGAGAAGCACAGAACUUAAGCCCCAGUAAACGGCGGCCGUAACUAUAACGGUCCUAAGGUAGCGAAAUUCCUUGUCGGGUAAGUUCCGACCCGCACGAAAGGCGUAACGAUCUGGGCACUGUCUCGACAAUAGACUCGGUGAAAUUGUAGUACCGGUAAAGAUGCCGGUUACCCGCAGCAGGACGGAAAGACCCCGUGGAGCUUUACUGUAGCUUGAUAUUGGAUUUCGGCAUUGCAUGUACAGGAUAGGUGGGAGACGUUGAGCUAUGCACGCCAGUGUGUAGGGAGUCGCCGUUGGGAUACCACUCUUGUAAUGUUGAGGUUCUAACCUUGUACCGUGAUCCGGUAUGGGGACAGUGUCAGGUGGGCAGUUUGACUGGGGCGGUCGCCUCCUAAAGAGUAACGGAGGCGCCCAAAGGUUCCCUCAGUGCGGUUGGAAAUCGUGCGAAGAGUGCAAAGGCAGAAGGGAGCUUGACUGCGAGACCUACAAGUCGAGCAGGGACGAAAGUCGGGCUUAGUGAUCCGGUGGUACCGAGUGUUAGGCCAUCGCUGAACGGAUAAAAGUACCCCGGG